This 489-nucleotide long non-coding RNA is filed under the name Homo sapiens (human). RNAcentral describes it as "HSALNT0047823". Lineage: Eukaryota; Metazoa; Chordata; Mammalia; Primates; Hominidae. The record is from RNAcentral.
GAAGACUAAGACUGGAGAUAGGGAGAGAAACACAGUCUCCUGUAGUGGUCUGGGCUUGAAGAAACAAAGUAACUUAACCAAGUGAUCAAACCAGGAUUGAGUCUUGUUCAUCAACUCCUGAGCUACCUUCGUGGAAGAUGACGAGCAGCCUGCAUCCAACGACUGGUCUGUCAGGAGCUCAUCAAGGCCGAGCAUUGGGACAACUCUGAAGAGCCAUCCAGCUUCAGGGCUCUCUGUGAAAUGGGGCCUUUUGCACCUGUGUGGCAGCCCAUCUGAUAUGGUUUGGGAUCUGUGUUUUUAACAUGCUAUACGGGGUUGUAGCCUAGCAGCAAUAGGUUACACCAUAUAUCCUGUGCACAGGUGCACAGUAGGCUAUAACACUAAGGUCUGUGUAAGUACAUGCUAUGAUGUUUGCACAACUAUAAAAUCACCUAAUGAUGCCUUUCUCAGAGCUUAUCCCUACCAUUAAAUGAUGCAUGAUUAUCUCUC